CAGCAGCCGCGGUAAUACGAAGGGGGCUAGCGUUGCUCGGAAUUACUGGGCGUAAAGGGAGCGUAGGCGGAUCGUUAAGUUGGGGGUGAAAGCCCGGGGCUCAACCUCGGAAUUGCCUUCAAUACUGGCGAUCUUGAGUAUGGAAGAGGUAUGUGGAACUCCGAGUGUAGAGGUGAAAUUCGUAGAUAUUCGGAAGAACACCAGUGGCGAAGGCGACAUACUGGUCCAUUACUGACGCUGAGGCUCGAAAGCGUGGGGAGCAAACAGGAUUAGAUACCCGGGUAGUCCCUGUCUCUUAUAC
Molecule: ribosomal RNA, 301 nt
Filed under: uncultured bacterium
Lineage: Bacteria
Description: partial 16S ribosomal RNA
Rfam family: Bacterial small subunit ribosomal RNA
Source: RNAcentral